CCUGAUGUCCAUAGUGCUGUGGCUCCACCUGAUUCCAUUCCGAACUCAGAAGUGAAACGCAGUAACGCCGAUGGUAGUGUGGGGUUUCCCCAUGUGAGAGUAGGGCAACAUCAGG
RNAcentral lists this ribosomal RNA (115 nucleotides) under Bibersteinia trehalosi. Lineage: Bacteria; Pseudomonadati; Pseudomonadota; Gammaproteobacteria; Pasteurellales; Pasteurellaceae. The record is from RNAcentral.